Molecule: ribosomal RNA, 40 nt
Filed under: Conocybe deliquescens
Lineage: Eukaryota; Fungi; Basidiomycota; Agaricomycetes; Agaricales; Bolbitiaceae
Description: partial 28S ribosomal RNA
Source: RNAcentral
UNUGACCUCAAAUCAGGUANGACUACCCGCUGAACUUAAG